Homo sapiens (human) is the source of this 2011-nucleotide long non-coding RNA. The record is from Ensembl. NCBI's taxonomy places the organism in Eukaryota, Metazoa, Chordata, Mammalia, Primates, Hominidae.
GCUCCCGUCCGGGGACAGCUCAGCGGCGGCAGUCAGCCCGACCCUCCUCCGCGCGGGUCGCCCAAACUUGACCAGCAGAGCGAGCGGCUCAGCGCAGUAGCCGCCUUCGCGGCUUCCAGUUGUAGAAAAGCAAAGCGCCGGGAGGAAGCAGCAGAGGGGGGGUUACAUGAGGCUGGAAAGUGGCGGGUGUACGGCGCCCGGGAUCGCCGAGGUCCUUGCGUCGCCUUGCGGAGGGACUUCGGCUAUCACAGUCGAGGGAGGUUGAAAACCCCACUUCAAAACCCGUCGGAAUGUUUUGAGAAAAUGUGGAUGGUAAUGGAGAAAUGUGAACAGAGGAGAGAAAGUAGCGGUCUUGUAAAGGAUAUACGAUAUUUUCCAAGUGGGCAGAAAGCACAGGAGGGAAAUGGCACAGUGACAAGAGGUCAGGGGAGCGGGAGAUGGAGCCAAGGGUCGGCGUUUGACGCUUACAGAGUUCUGGAAGGGAAAGGACCCUUCUAUUCCAUGCAUUCCUGCGCUGCGAUGUUUUUGUGCCACACACCAUAGCUGAAGAAGUUUCACUUAAUGCCUUACAGUAAAUUGGAAGGAAAGAAAGAAUGAGAGCAAGAAAUGUCCCAUGUCAAAAAUUCUGCUGCGUGGAGAGAAAUGGUGAAAUACAAGCGAUUUGGAGAAUGUGAGGAAGGGUUCUGAUUGGUGACUAUACUCUCAUUCUCAUUAGGAAUUCAUACACCUCUGCCUCUCUUUGAAGGUGUGUCCACACCAACUUAAAUGUAUGCAAAUCAUUUCUAAAAAGAUACCAUGUGUGGAGUUUAUAUAUCGGCACUUAAGAGUAAAAUCUGACUUUGAUACUCAUUUUGCCACUCUUACUGAUAUUGAUUGACCACAUGAGCAUUUGCAAACUCAUUUUAGAGUUUAUAAACUCAGUUACAAAAUAAAAAGACUACAUUAUCACCAUUAUAAUAUAAAUCAUUGUGUCUAAAUAAUGUUCUUAGAAAUUUCUAAUGAUUCAUUAUCUGAUAAUUUUAUUCAAAAUCUCUUUUUAUAUACUGUCAAAAAUAUGUUUCCAUGACCUUUUAUAAUUAAAUUUUCAUUUUUAAAUGUUGGCUUACAGUAAAUCUAUAAACUUCAUUAAUAAUUCACUAAAAGAAAAAUCGUUCAAGAAAGUCCUUAUAAAUUGAAGGAAUGUAUAAUAUUAUUAUUUUAAAAAUAUAAACCAUGUGAAUCUAUUUCUAUACUUUUACUUUUGAAAUUAACUAGACUUGCAAGGGAAACAUUUUUAAUGGAACAUCACCAAAAAGAAGUUAUUUCAGUAUAAUUCCUAACAUAAAAUAUUUUAAAAUCAAAGUUUAAAAUCAAGUUCUGAUGUUUUACUUGAGUGUUGCAUUUUAGAGAAUAUGUUAUAAAACACCAAGAAGUUUCACUUAAAAUUAGACUAGAAGGCAGUACUUUUAGUGGAAGGAAGGGGAAAAGGCAGAAAAAAAAAAGGAGAAAGAAAUAGAGAGGAAAACUUAGAUUCAUUUCUAGGAUUCACGCUUAGUUAGAAAUCAUAGCACAGUGCCUGAAACAUAACCUGUUACUUCAAAGUAACAAUAAUCCGCUUAAUUAACCUGAAUUUCUAGUCCCCCCAUGCACUGUACUUACAAUUCAGCUACAGUUCAUAAUUUGUAUUUGUUUAAAUGAGCCAAAGUCAAGCUUGACAUAUAUAUCUGGUUAGAUAAUUGAUAGUCAUAUUCUUGUCUUGGCUUUUAAGAAAAAAAUAUUACAAGAUUUUUCUCAAUAUUAAAACAUACUUCACAUGUUUACGUAUGUUUGGAUGCUAUCUAUUGCAUGCCUAGAAGAUAAUGACAUCUUAAGUAAAAACUCAUCUAAAAAAUGAGUUAAAAUAUGAUUAUCAUUGCCUUUGACAAUAGCAAGAUUCCAUGAGUUUGACAUGAUUAUUAAUGUUAAAACAUGAUUGUAAAAAAGAAUUACCAUGACCGUUUGACCAUUUAUAUGUUUAUAUAUAUAUGUGAUA